Molecule: ribosomal RNA, 301 nt
Filed under: uncultured bacterium
Lineage: Bacteria
Description: partial 16S ribosomal RNA
Rfam family: Bacterial small subunit ribosomal RNA
Source: RNAcentral
CAGCCGCCGCGGUAAUACGAAGGGUGCAAGCGUUACUCGGAAUUACUGGGCGUAAAGCGUGCGUAGGUGGUGGUUUAAGUCCGUUGUGAAAGCCCUGGGCUCAACCUGGGAAUUGCAGUGGAUACUGGGUCACUAGAGUGUGGUAGAGGAUAGUGGAAUUUCCGGUGUAGCAGUGAAAUGCGUAGAGAUCGGAAGGAACAUCUGUGGCGAAGGCGACUAUCUGGGCCAACACUGACACUGAGGCACGAAAGCGUGGGGAGCAAACAGGAUUAGAUACCCGCGAGUCCCUGUCUCUUAUACA